GAUGAAGAACGCAGCGAAAUGCGAUACGUAAUGUGAAUUGCAGAAUUCAGUGAAUCAUCGGGUCUUUGAACGCACAUUGCGCCCCCUGGUAUUCCGGGGGGCAUGCCUGUCCGAGCGUCAUUGCUGCCCUCAAGCACGGCUUGUGUGUUGGGCCUCCGUCCUCCUCCCGGGGGACGGGCCCGAAAGGCAGCGGCGGCACCGCGUCCGGUCCUCGAGCGUAUGGGGCUUCGUCACCCGCUCUUGUAGGCCCGGCCGGCGCUUGCCGACACAUCAAUCUUUUUUCCAGGUUGACCUCGGAUCAGGUAGGGAUACCCGCUGAACUUAAGCAUAUCAAUAAGCGGAGGA
This 345-nucleotide unclassified non-coding RNA is filed under the name soil metagenome. RNAcentral describes it as "partial contains 5.8S ribosomal RNA, internal transcribed spacer 2, and large subunit ribosomal RNA". The stretch from base 1 to 120 matches the Rfam family "5.8S ribosomal RNA", at positions 35 to 154 of the family's 154-position model. The record is from RNAcentral.